This is a long non-coding RNA of Vigna radiata var. radiata (mung bean), 1857 nucleotides long. RefSeq lists it as uncharacterized. The transcript has 3 exons. Lineage: Eukaryota; Viridiplantae; Streptophyta; Magnoliopsida; Fabales; Fabaceae. The record is from RefSeq and is a predicted model, not a curated record.
UAUUUUUCUCUUUCAGAAAAUCUUAAGUAAAAGCUGUUCUAAAGAAUAAUUUUUAGGCAUGACAACACUUUAGUAUGGCCUCAGUUCGCUUAUAUUGUGAGUAUAAUAUGCUAUUUUUUUUGUUAUGCACAUAACUUACAAGAUAAAAGUUAAAAAGUUUAAAGAUUAUGUUCCUCAUUAAAAUGAUUGAAAACUAAAUGAAAUUAAGCGAUGGGUAACCUUUAAGCCCUAGUUUAAGAAGUGAGGAGUAAAAUAAGAAGAAAAAAAAACCUUGAAGCCCUAGUGGUGUAAAUGCCACCGUGGCUGACUUGAAUGGACUGUGAAGUUACAUGUUACGCUACAUGGGUAAAUAUAUAAUAAAAAAAAAUUAAAAUGACGUAAUGUAUGUGUCACCACGUCUUAUGACAAGGUUCGUAUCUCUCGAGGUUUAUUGGAAUCCGACACCGGAAGAGUAGAACAGUUACACACGACGGUGAAGGGCCUUCGAGAAUAAUUAGAAUUCUAUCUUCACGAUAGAGUCGCUCUAAAUGUUACAUCCACCUUCUCAACGCUCACUUCUGCACUCUCCUUCCUCGACCAUAGAUUCCAUACCCAAUGCGCCCUCGUCGAUGCUCCCAACUUCGUCUCCAAGCUCUAAACUCAGUGCGUCGAGUUGGAUCGAGCGCUCGAUGAGUUAACUCGGAGAGGGUCUCGUCGCUUACGCCUCCUUCUUCGGUGAAAUCCACGGCCUUUCCAGCCACGUCACUGAUAGGUUGGUUGCCCUCUCCUGCACUGUCCUGCCAGGUUCGAUUGGAUAAUAUUUUUUGCCUUUUUAGGUCAUCUUACUGCGUUGAAUUUUGAGGAAUGGUUUUGGAUUUAGUUUUGUUGAGUGAAGAUGGAGGAAGAGGUAAAGCGGAUGAUAAGGGUUUCAAAGAGGAACUUGCGACUUUAGUGAAGGAAGUGGCUAGGUUGGAGACGCAUCUGCUAUUGAUUCCAUACUUAUCCGCUGCCAAGAAGCUGAAGGUUUGACAACGACAAUGCUGUAUUAAAGGUUACAAUUUCUGUCAAUGCUGCUCAUUACUUUGAAUAUGUUAUAAAGGAAUGGUCUGAAGAUGUCUUCUUCCUUGAGAUGGGAUGGGUGAGGAUGAUGAGGCAGGAAUGGAAAGUAAUGCUAAUAUUUAUGAAGGGAUGCCAGAAAGUUUCAAAAAGGUUAUUUUUGAUGACGAGAUAAAAAAGCUGGAAGAGUUCAGAACAGAGUAGGUUGAAAAGAUAUCCCUAGUCAUUUUGAGGGGGUUUUGACGCUUUCUCUAAGGACUAUAUGAAGAACAAGAAGCAAUGGUAGAAGGGUGAAGAAGGAUGGACUGUGUCGAAGGCUCUAGUAGAAGCCCAGAAUUAUUUGCAAAGUAAAACUUCGGUGGUAGAAGUGGCGCUGGUGAUGUGGAAGAUUUGGGAUCGGGAUCCAUGAAAAUCGAUUCGGGGGUGAUGAAAUGUGGGGGUGAUGGAAGGUGUUGCCGCCGAUUCAGAAUAUCAUAACAAAGAAAGGGGUUCAACUAGUGAAAAGUGAAGGAGGUUCCUAUAGCUGGUUACGAAGGUCGAUGACCCUUUCUGUUAAGUUAUAAGGAACUACCUUAUCAUGAGGAGGAGGAACCAUGUACCAUUACUUAUUUGUAACACUUAAGGAAUUUAAUUUUUUGAAAGAUAGGUACAAAACUUCUAGAAUAAUGCAUAAAUCCUAAUAAAUUGAGUCAAGAGUUAUCUAUUUAUAAAUGAGUGUUCAAUUGUAAAAUGUAUGUUUGAUGGUGUUAUUUAGAAUUUAUUUGAAUUGUUAUGAUUUAUUAUAGUUAUCAUUAGCUUACCCUCCUUUAUUUGUUUGUUGUG